This 2375-nucleotide ribosomal RNA is filed under the name Hippobosca equina. RNAcentral describes it as "eukaryotic LSU rRNA". It matches the Rfam family "Eukaryotic large subunit ribosomal RNA", at positions 98 to 1889 of the family's 3401-position model. Lineage: Eukaryota; Metazoa; Arthropoda; Insecta; Diptera; Hippoboscidae. The record is from RNAcentral.
AAGAAAUACGUUCAGCACUAAGUCACUUUACAUAUAUUAUUGUAAAUGUGAGAUGCAGUGUAUGGAAUAUUCAAAUCUAAUAUGAGAAAUUAUUGAUUUAAGUCCUUCUUAAAUGAGGCCAUUUACCCAAAGAGGGUGGUAGGCCCGUAUAACGAUAAUGAUUAUUAGUGAAUAUUUCCAAAGAGUCGUGUUGCUUGAUAGUGCAGCACUAAGUGGGUGGUAAACUCCAUCUAAAACUAAAUAUAACCAUGAGACCGAUAGUAAACAAGUACCGUGAGGGAAAGUUGAAAAGAACUCUGAAUAGAGAGUUAAAUAGUACGUGAAACUGCUUAGAGGUUAAGCCCGAUGAAUCUGAAUAUCCAAUAAUGGGAAAUUCAUCAUUAUGAUUAUAAUAUUUUAUGAAUGAGUCUUCUUUGUUCAUUUUUAUGAUGAAUAAAGGGGGUAAUAAUUUUAUAAAUAUAUUGUAAUAAUAGUGUGCAUUUUUCCCAUUUAAAGGACAUUGUAAUCUAUUAAUAAAURAUAUGUAAAAAUUUAUCAUAAGGUUUAUGGUAUUAUAAUAAUGUUUAAAUAUAUACUUAAUUAUAUUUCUUAUGAAUAUGAUUAUAUUGUUUAAAUGCCAUUAACUUGAUAAAAUAUUGAUAGAUUAAAAUAAUAUGGUGCCUUUAAAUAUGAGAAAUUAUUUUAAUAUAGUGUAUAAGAUGUAUAAUAUUAUUAGGAGGACGCUUCUUUUUUAAUUUUCCUUUUCUUUUUUUAAGAAAGGGAGAAGAGGAAAGUUGUGUUUAUAUCUCUUAAUAUAUAUAUAUAUACUUAUACAUGAUUUAUUAUGCACUUAUAAAGAAAAAUUAUAUGAUUUACAAUGCGAAAGAUUCAGAAUACCUUCGGGACCCGUCUUGAAACACGGACCAAGGAGUCUAACAUAUAUGCAAGUUAUUGGGAAUUUAUAUAUUAAUUAUAAAUAAUGAAUAAACCUAAUAGCGCAAUUAACAUAACGAAUAAAUGAAAUAUUAGAUGGGAUUAAUUUUUAAUGUAUAAAAAUUAAAGUAUAUUAUUAAUUCAAUCCCGGGGCGUUCUAUAUAGUUAUGUAUAUUGAAAUAUUAUUUCUGUAUACCUCUAACUGGAGCGUACCUUGAGCAUAUAUGCUGUGACCCGAAAGAUGGUGAACUAUACUUGAUCAGGUUGAAGUCAGGGGAAACCCUGAUGGAGGACCGAAGCAGUUCUGACGUGCAAAUCGAUUGUCAGAAUUGAGUAUAGGGGCGAAAGACUAAUCGAACCAUCUAGUAGCUGGUUCCCUCCGAAGUUUCCCGCAGGAUAGCUGGUGCAUUUUAUAAUUAUAAAAAGUAAUCUUAUCUGGUAAAGCGAAUGAUUAGAGGCCUUAGGGUCGAAACGAUUUUAACCUAUUCUCAAACUUUAAAUGGGUAAGAACCACACCUUUCUUGAAAUGAAGGUGUUAUAUAUAUAUAUAAAUGGUUAUGAUAUAAUGUGCCCAGUGGGCCACUUUUGGUAAGCAGAACUGGCGCUGUGGGAUGAACCAAACGUAAUGUUACGGUGCCCAAAUUAAUAACUCAUACAGAUACCAUGAAAGGCGUUGGUUGCUUAAAACAGCAGGACGGUGGACAUGGAAGUCGUAAUCCGCUAAGGAGUGUGUAACAACUCACCUGCCGAAGCAACUAGCCCUUAAAAUGGAUGGCGCUUAAGUUAUAUACCUAUACAUUACCGCUAAAGUAAAUGAUUUAUUCUAUUUAAAAAUUUUUUUGAAUAGAUAAAUUUUGAAACUUUAGUGAGUAGGAGGGUACGAUGGUGUGCAUAGAAGUGUUUUGGCGUAAGCCCUGCAUUGGAGCCCGCCAUUGGCACAGAUCUUGGUGGUAGUAGCAAAUAAUCGAAUGAGACCUUGGAGGACUGAAGUGGAGAAGGGUUUCGUGUGAACAGUGGUUGAUCACGAGUUAGUCGGUCCUAAGUUUAAAGCGAAAGCUGAAAAUUUUCAAGUUAAAAAUGAAUAAUAAUAAAUGAAUAAAAAUGAAAUUGAUUGAUACACUUGAAAAUGAAUUAAACGAAAGGGAAUACGGUUCCAAUUCCGUAACCUGUUGAGUAUCCGUUUGUUUAUUAAAUGUGGGCCAUUGUGCUCAUCCUGGUAACAGGAACGACCAUAAAGAAGCCGUCGAGAGGUAUCGGAAGAGUUUUCUUUUCUGUUUUAUAGUCGUACUACCAUGGAAGUCUUUCGAAGAGAGAUAUGGUAGAUGGACUAGAAGAGCAUGACAUUUACUGUUGUGUCGAUAUUUUCUCCUCGGACCUUGAAAAUUUAUGGUGGGGUCACGCAAACUUCUCAAUAGGCCGUACCAAUAUCCGCAGCUGGUCUCCAAGGUGAAGAGUCUCUAGUG